GUACAUUCCAUAUGAAUAGAUGCCGAAACGGCUUAAAAGGGAAUCUGGUGUAAAACCAGAACUGUCCCCGCAACUGUAAGUGCUGAAAGUGCCUGAUAAACCACUGUGACUGAUGUUACGGGAAGGAUCAGAAACUGUUUGAAGCAUGAGUCAGGAGACCUGUCUAUUCAGUAACGUGCUA
This 181-nucleotide non-coding RNA is filed under the name Jeotgalibacillus campisalis. The record is from RNAcentral. Lineage: Bacteria; Bacillati; Bacillota; Bacilli; Caryophanales; Caryophanaceae.